Molecule: ribosomal RNA, 1000 nt
Filed under: uncultured organism
Description: bacterial SSU rRNA
Rfam family: Bacterial small subunit ribosomal RNA
Source: RNAcentral
CGGGUGAGUAACACGUGAGUGACAUACCCCGCAGUGGGGGAUAGCCCGCCGAAAGGCGGAUUAAUACCCCAUGGUAUCGCAAGAUUAAAGGUGGCUUCCGCUGCCGCUGCGGGAUUGGCUCGCGUCCUAUCAGUUAGUUGGUGAGGUAACGGCUCACCAAGGCGACGACGGGUAGCUGGUCUGAGAGGAUGAUCAGUCACACUGGAACUGAGACACGGUCCAGACACCUACGGGUGGCAGCAGUCGAGAAUAAUUCACAAUGGACGAAAGUCUGAUGGUGCAACGCCGCGUGGAGGAUGACGGUCUUCGGAUUGUAAACUCCUGUCAUCGGGGAGUAAGACCUGGCUGUGAAUAGCAGACAGGGUUGAUAGUACCCGAAGAGGAAGGGACGGCUAACUUCGUGCCAGCAGCCGCGGUAAUACGAAGGUCCCGAGCGUUGUUCGGAAUCACUGGGCGUAAAGGGAGCGUAGGCGGCAGGGUAAGUCAGAUGUGAAAUCCCGGGGCUCAACCCCGGAACGGUAUCCGAUACCGCCCUGCUUGAGUAGUGGAGGGGUAGCUGGAAUUCUCGGUGUAGCAGUGAAAUGCGUGGAUAUCGAGAGGAACACUCGUGGCGAAAGCGAGCUACUGGACAUUGACUGACGCUGAGGCUCGAAGGCCAGGGUAGCGAAAGGGAUUAGAUACCCCUGUAGUCCUGGCAGUAAACGGUGUGCGCUUGGUGUGAGGGGUUUCGACCCCCCUUGUGCCGGAGCUAACGCGUUAAGCGCACCGCCUGGGAAGUACGGUCGCAAGACUAAAACUCAAAGAAAUUGACGGGGACCCGCACAAGCGGUGGAGUAUGUGGCUUAAUUCGAUGCAACGCGAAGAACCUUACCUGGGCUUGACAUGCAUUGCUAAUCCGCUGAAAGGCGGUGAGUCUUCGGACACCUUGCACAGGUGCUGCAUGGCCGUCGUCAGCUCGUGUCGUGAGAUGUUGGGUUAAGUCCCGCAACGAGCGCAACCC